UACGAACUGUGCGAACGUUAUUCGGAAUCACUGGGCUUACAGGGUGCGUAGGCGGCUUAGCAAGUCAGGUGUGAAAGCCCCCGGCUCAACCGGGGAACUGCGCUUGAAACUGCUGAGCUCGAGUCAGCUAGAGGUACACGGAACUUCCAGUGGAGCGGUGAAAUGUGUUGAUAUUGGAAGGAACACCGGAGGCGAAAGCGGUGUACUGGGGCUGGUCUGACGCUGAGGCACGAAAGCCAUGGGAGCGAACGGG
Molecule: ribosomal RNA, 253 nt
Filed under: uncultured bacterium
Lineage: Bacteria
Description: partial 16S ribosomal RNA
Rfam family: Bacterial small subunit ribosomal RNA
Source: RNAcentral